GAUGAAGAACGCAGCGAAAUGUGAUACGUAAUGUGAAUUGCAGAAUUCAGUGAAUCAUCGAAUCUUUGAACGCAUAUUGCGCUCUCUGGUAUUCCGGAGAGCAUGCUUGUUUGAGUAUCAGUAAACACCUCAAUUCCCCUUUCUUUUUUUGAAAUGGGAGCUGGACUUGAGUGAUCCCAACGCUUUUCUCACCGAAAAGUGGCGGGUUACUUGAAAUGCAGGUGCAGCUGGACUUUUCUCUGAGCUAAAAGCAUAUCUAUUUAGUCUGCCUAAAAAACAGAUUAUUACCUUUGCUGCAGCUAACAUAAAGGAGAUUAGUUCUUGUGCUGACUGAUGCAGGAUUCACAGAGACAGCUUCGGAUGGCCUUUGUAAACUCGAUCUCAAAUCAAGUAAGACUACCCGCUGAACUUAAGCAUAUCAAUAAGCGGAGGA
Molecule: unclassified non-coding RNA, 433 nt
Filed under: soil metagenome
Description: partial contains 5.8S ribosomal RNA, internal transcribed spacer 2, and large subunit ribosomal RNA
Rfam family: 5.8S ribosomal RNA (bases 1-120)
Source: RNAcentral